This 1236-nucleotide ribosomal RNA is filed under the name metagenome. RNAcentral's name for it is "bacterial LSU rRNA". It matches the Rfam family "Bacterial large subunit ribosomal RNA", at positions 1564 to 2808 of the family's 2925-position model. The record is from RNAcentral.
UGAAUACGAGAUGCUACGGCAUCGAAGCAGUCUAUGUCAUACUUCCAAGAAAAGCUUGCACUGUCAUAAACAAAUAAUGCCUGUACCAUAACCGACACAGGUGGGUAGGUAGAGUAUACUAAGGGGCGCGAGAUAACUCUCUCUAAGGAACUCGGCAAAAUGACUCCGUAACUUCGGGAGAAGGAGUGCCUUAUUUUAUAAGGUUGCAAUAACAAGAUCCAAGCAACUGUUUACCAAAAACACAGGUCUCCGCUAAGUCGUAAGACGAUGUAUGGGGGCUGACGCCUGCCCAGUGCCAGAAGGUUAAAGAAGUUGGUUAGCAUUAGCGAAGCUGAUAACUGAAGCCCUGGUGAACGGCGGCCGUAACUAUAACGGUCCUAAGGUAGCGAAAUUCCUUGUCGGGUAAGUUCCGACCCGCACGAAAGGCGUAAUGAUUUGGAUACUGUCUCGGAGAGGGGCUCGGUGAAAUAGACUUGUCUGUGAAGAUGCGGACUACCUGCACCAGGACAGAAAGACCCUAUGAAGCUUUACUGUAACUUGAGAUUGAAAUUGGACUUUAUUUGCGCAGUAUAGGUGGGAGACGUUGAAAAUAUUCUUGCGGGAAUAUUGGAGUCAUCAGUGAGAUACCACUCUUAUAAUGUUAGAUUUCUAACUUUGUAUCAUUAUCUGGUCAAAGAACAGUCUCAGGCGGGCAGUUUGACUGGGGCGGUCGCCUCCCAAACGGUAACGGAGGCGCACAAAGGUUUCCUCUGAACGUGUAGAAAUCGUAUCUAGAGUGUAAAGGCAUAAGGAAGCUUGACUGUUAGACCUACAAGUCGAGCAGGGACGAAAGUCGGUCUUAGUGAUCUGACGGUGCUGAGUGGAAAGGCCGUCACUCAACGGAUAAAAGUUACUCUAAGGAUAACAGGCUGAUCUCCCCCAAGAGUUCACAUCGACGGGGAGGUUUGGCACCUCGAUGUCGGCUCAUCGCAUCCUGGGGCGGUAGUACGUCCCAAGGGUUGGGCUGUUCGCCCAUGAAAGCGGUACGCGAGCUGUGUUCAGAACGUCGUGAGACAGUUCGGUCCAUAUCCGGUGUAGGCGUUAGAAUAUUGAGAGGAGCCUUCUUUAGUACGAGAGGACCGAGAAGGACAUACCUCUGGUGUACCAGUUAUCGUGCCAACGGUAAACGCUGGGUAGCUAUGUAUGGAGAGGAUAACCGCUGAAAGCAUCUAAGUGGGAAGCCCACCUCAAGAUAAG